ACCAUCUUUGAGAGGACUCGCCACAAUUAGUCUGACAUUUAUUCUGGUUGUAUGUUCCGCGAUAGUCACAACCACCACACGAACCGGAAGCUUUAUAAGCAGGCCAAUAGCGACCAAUGCUUUGCCCAUUUAUCCACACUUGACCUUUUCCCAUGCUGCUCAUAUCCAAAGCCAAGGGAUCAUUUCCAGCCGGUGCAUUGAAGAAAGCCUUGUACCAUGUUAGUGG
RNAcentral lists this unclassified non-coding RNA (226 nucleotides) under Hevea brasiliensis (rubber tree). Lineage: Eukaryota; Viridiplantae; Streptophyta; Magnoliopsida; Malpighiales; Euphorbiaceae. The record is from RNAcentral.